CCUGCACACUGUUAAAGCUUGAUGCUCAGGUCAGCUUCUGGCCAAUGAGCUCUCAAGUGUCGGAAGUGUGCUACAGCAAACCAGAUGGCAGGGUUUUUGGUAAUGCCAGGAGAGGAGCUCCCUCAAUGAUUGGGAUUUAAUAGUAGGCCCUGCCACAUGU
Molecule: small nucleolar RNA, 160 nt
Filed under: Anas platyrhynchos (mallard)
Lineage: Eukaryota; Metazoa; Chordata; Aves; Anseriformes; Anatidae
Also listed under: 2 other names
Source: RNAcentral